UUCCCUGUAACGCAAUCGAUAGCGCGUUAGACUUUUAAUCCAAAAGUUGUGGGUUCGAAUUCCACCAGGGAUG
RNAcentral lists this transfer RNA (73 nucleotides) under Trichonephila clavata. It matches the Rfam family "tRNA". Rfam says of the family: Transfer RNA (tRNA) molecules are approximately 80 nucleotides in length. Their secondary structure includes four short double-helical elements and three loops (D, anti-codon, and T loops). The record is from Rfam by way of RNAcentral. Lineage: Eukaryota; Metazoa; Arthropoda; Arachnida; Araneae; Nephilidae.